This is a small nucleolar RNA of 100 nucleotides. Its record names the gene SNORD16. It matches the Rfam family "Small nucleolar RNA SNORD16". From Rfam's summary of the family: U16 is a member of the C/D class of snoRNA which contain the C (UGAUGA) and D (CUGA) box motifs. U81 acts as a guanine methylation guide and is found in an intron of ribosomal proteins L1 gene in animals. This snoRNA was independently named MBII-98 in mouse. The record is from Ensembl.
UGCCAUGAUGGUGUAAUUUGCGUCUGAUCCUGUGAACGCUGACAGUUGCCUGCUGUCUCUAUGCUGUCAUAGGUAGUUGAUGUAUGCUAAGGUCUGAGCA